ACUCCUCGGUAUCGUUUCGGGUCCGAGGAUCAGUUGGGGUACUUUUGGGGAUCAUUUCGGGUCCUGGGAUCGUUUCGGGUCCUGGGAUCAUUUCGGGUCCUGUACAAUUCCCCCUGGAGUGAUGCUUCCGAUUCUUACUCUAUUGAGCACUUAGCACUCGAAUGGGUUCUAGGGGCAAGUCCCAACUUGUCCUUCGUGGCCUCUGCAGGAGCUUGGAACAGUGGGAACAAUCGAGACUCAGUUUGCGAUCUCAUCAGGAGCAAAAAGACCUUUAAGAUACGAUGGAAUCCCGGGAUGCGGUACUUCUCGCAAUCGUUAUCACCAACACAAUACUACUUCUAUUUAUUCUUGUGCUCCUGCUUCGACGGAAGCGGAAUCAGAUAAUUAAACUAGUAUUUGAUCAGAAACAACCGGCGCGGCUCAACAAGCAGGACUAUACUAGGGGAAGAUACGUCACCUAUUAUAGUCCCCCCACCGGAUGGAACCCUGGAACUUCUAGUGUACUAACCAUUACACUAACUGACGGUUGAAGAUCUUCCCUAGCCAAGUCUAACUGGAAGCUACGUUUUCUUGCUUACUUUAUUACAGACCACGUGGUGCUGUGAAGUGUCUCCAUCAAGAAUCGUAUACAAAAAGACAGGAGCGAAAAAUGGCAAAGGUCAAAUUGUAAGGUCGGGUUAGCUUAUAAUCGCUUAAUUUUUUAAAUAGAUAUUUCUUGUGUUAUAAAAACCAAAAUAAGCUUUAGUACUUUUUGGUAGAUAAUCCUUUUUGAGAUAUUGCAAAUUGCAAGACUCUUGAUUUGUCUGAAAUUGCCCAUUUUGGGAGAAAUUGCUUCUUUUUUCAUGAUUUAUUGCAACUUUGCUCAAUCAUAUCUCAAGAACGAAUCAUCUACCAAAAAGUACCAAAGCUCGAUAUUACGUAAGGAACCUCUAGGCAAAAUGUAAGCAAAAUAUAAGCUAACACAACUUUACAAUUUGAAUUUUGCCAUUUUUUGCUCUGGUCAUUCAAGAACACAAGUACAUUCGCAUAACCAUGAAUAAAGUAGCACACAAAGUGACAUGG
Long non-coding RNA from Nematostella vectensis (starlet sea anemone), 1062 nucleotides. RefSeq lists it as uncharacterized. The transcript is spliced from 2 exons. The record is from RefSeq and is a predicted model, not a curated record. Lineage: Eukaryota; Metazoa; Cnidaria; Anthozoa; Actiniaria; Edwardsiidae.